This 460-nucleotide ribosomal RNA is filed under the name uncultured bacterium. RNAcentral's name for it is "partial 16S ribosomal RNA". It matches the Rfam family "Bacterial small subunit ribosomal RNA", at positions 338 to 795 of the family's 1533-position model. The record is from RNAcentral.
CCUACGGGUGGCAGCAGUGAGGAAUAUUGGUCAAUGGACGAGAGUCUGAACCAGCAAAGUCGCGUGAAGGAUGACUGCCCUAUGGGCUGUAAACUUCUUUUAUAUGGGAAUAAAACAGUGUAUGCAUACCCUCCUGUAUGUACCAUAUGAAUAAGGAUCGGCUAACUCUGUGUCAGUAGCCGCGGUAACACGGAGGGUCCGAGCGUUAUCCGGAUUUAGUGGGGUUAAAGGGAGCGUAGGUGGAUUGUUAAGGCAGUUGCUAAAGUUUGCGGCUCAACCGUAAGAUUGCAGUUGAAACUGGCAGUCUUGAGUGCAGUAGAGGUGGGCGGAAUUCGUGGUGUAGCGGUGAAAUGCUUAGAUAUCACGAAGAACACCGAUUGCGAAGGCAGCUCACUGGACUGCAACUGACGCUGAUGCUCGAAAGUGUGGGUAGCAAACAGGAUUAGAUACCCGAGUAGUC